AUCUGCUGCGGGCAGAUGAAGUGGAUAUGGGCGUCGAUCCCCCCGGCCGUCACGAUGCUGCCCUCGGCGGCGAGCACCUCAGUGCCCGGACCCACCACGAUAUCCACAGCCGGCUGGGUAUCCGGGUUGCCGGCCUUGCCGAUGCCGUGGAUCCGGCCGUUGCGGAUACCGAUAUCGGCCUUGAUCACACCGCGAUAAUCCAGGAUGACGGCAUUGGUGAUGACCAGAUCCACCGCCUCGUGACCGGCCGCCUGGCUCUGGCCCAUGCCAUCGCG
This 275-nucleotide small RNA is filed under the name uncultured Spiribacter sp. RNAcentral's name for it is "5' ureB small RNA". It matches the Rfam family "5' ureB small RNA". Lineage: Bacteria; Pseudomonadati; Pseudomonadota; Gammaproteobacteria; Chromatiales; Ectothiorhodospiraceae. The record is from RNAcentral.